GAUGAACGCUGGCGGCGUGCCUAAUACAUGCAAGUCGAGCGAACAGAUGAGGAGCUUGCUCCUCUGACGUUAGCGGCGGACGGGUGAGUAACACGUGGAUAACCUACCUAUAAGACUGGGAUAACUUCGGGAAACCGGAGCUAAUACCGGAUAAUAUAUUGAACCGCAUGGUUCAAUAGUGAAAGACGGUUUUGCUGUCACUUAUAGAUGGAUCCGCGCCGCAUUAGCUAGUUGGUAAGGUAACGGCUUACCAAGGCGACGAUGCGUAGCCGACCUGAGAGGGUGAUCGGCCACACUGGAACUGAGACACGGUCCAGACUCCUACGGGAGGCAGCAGUAGGGAAUCUUCCGCAAUGGGCGAAAGCCUGACGGAGCAACGCCGCGUGAGUGAUGAAGGUUUUCGGAUCGUAAAACUCUGUUAUUAGGGAAGAACAAAUGUGUAAGUAACUAUGCACGUCUUGACGGUACCUAAUCAGAAAGCCACGGCUAACUACGUG
RNAcentral lists this ribosomal RNA (497 nucleotides) under uncultured bacterium. RNAcentral's name for it is "partial 16S ribosomal RNA". It matches the Rfam family "Bacterial small subunit ribosomal RNA", at positions 28 to 507 of the family's 1533-position model. The record is from RNAcentral.